RNAcentral lists this ribosomal RNA (463 nucleotides) under uncultured bacterium. Its description in RNAcentral is "partial 16S ribosomal RNA". It matches the Rfam family "Bacterial small subunit ribosomal RNA", at positions 28 to 507 of the family's 1533-position model. The record is from RNAcentral.
GAUGAACGCUGACAGAAUGCUUAACACAUGCAAGUCGAAGGGGAAGUGGUGCUUGCACCAUGGUAACCAUGGCGGACGGGUGAGUAACGCGUAAGGAACUUACCUUCGGGACCGGGAUAACAGCAGGAAACUGCUGACAAGACCGGAUAAGGUCAUUAAGCUGCAUAGCUUAGUGAUGAAAGGAGACGCCUGCGGAGAGCCUUGCGUCCUAUUAGCUAGUUGGAGGGGUAACGGCCCACCAAGGCGAAGAUAGGUAGCCGGCCUGAGAGGGUGGACGGCCACAAGGGGACUGAGAUGCGGCAGUUACUCCUACGGGAGGCAGGAGUGGGGAAUAUUGGACAAUGGGGGCAACCCUGAUCCAGGCAUUCUGUGUGCACGAAGACGGUUUUCGGAGUGAAAAGUGCUUGCAGCAGAGAAGAAGGAAGUGACGGUACCUGCAGAAGAAGCGACGGCUAAAUACGUG